AGUCACACAGCUGCCUGGUAGGUGACUGGAGGCCUUGAUCGGUUCUCAUUGAGAUUUUGCUGCUGUGGCCCCAACCCUGCCUCCCUCCCCACCCUGCGAUGGCAGAAGAAACUCAACACAACAAAUUGGCUGCAGCCAAGAAGAAGGUAAAAACGCACUAGGUCAUAGCCCCUCAACCCAGCCACAGAACCCCUCUGAUGACAAGACCCCUGCCAGAGUCUAUACGACUCCUGAGGCACACUGGACUGGUCCCCCCAACCCCGGUGCCUUGGGCUACCCCCACCAAAGUUUUGUCAGUCAGCCCCACCCCUUCAGAAAGCAGCCCAGUCCUUGCCCUCGCCAAUCACCCCAGGGUGACUUUGGGUGGGUGACUCCUGGGGCUUCCCGCUCCAUUACUGGGCCCUCAUCUCCUGCCGCCCCAAGCUUGAUCUCCCUGGGCUCUUUGGGCUCUCAUCUCCAAGGAGCCAGGCCCCACCCUCGCCAGUCAUCCCUGGGUGACUUUGGGCUGGUGACUCCUGGGACUCCCUGCUGCAGACUGUGCCCUCCCCUCCUGCUGCCUCAAGGUCGACCUCCCUGGGUUCUUUGUGCUGGCGUCUCCAAGGAGCUGGGUCCCAACCCUGUGCUUCCCUCCCCCAUCGUGGAGCGGCGACUUGGACAUGGUGCUGACAUGGUCCCUCCCCCCCGACCAGGAGGAGUGGAAUGUUGUGAUGUCACAGCCCACCUAGUAACUGCCGUUACUGCAAGACUGGCCUUUGAUCUUAUGACCCAGUCCCCUAAGCGUUCUCACCCCGUUUCUGGUUCCUCUGGUCACAGCACAAAUUUCCAGCUGGAAGGGGAAUGGAGACUAUGGGACCUAGGAGCAAGAGGUUCCAGGCUGCCUCACUCCCUUACAGAUGUUGACGGUGGGAAAAGCCUACACUUCCCCCAUGAACUCAAAACAUUGACAGUAUCUCUGGGUGGCAAUGAGAGAAUGGGUUUGAUUUGGUUUUCUCCCAGGCUUCUACUUUCCAGAGAGAUUUUAACAUUUUUUUCUGAGUUCUCCACCUCAUAUUCUAAUUCUCCAUGGUUCUGGGACCAGACUCUCCUUCAGUCAGUGGUCUCUGAAGUGACAUUUGCUCAUCUUCUGUGAAAUAGAUCUUGGGAAACUGAACUUGACACCUUGAAUCUUCCUCAUAUUAUCUCAAGCUUGGGUACUUUGAGUGCCACAGGAUAAAUGUGGGGCAUCUUUCUGAAGCAUCAGUUUCCCUUGAUUCUCUUGAGAUCAAGAGAAAAAACAUGAAUGUACUUAGGGAUGACAGUCACAUAGGUUUCUAAGAGUAUACCAGACCUCUCUCUGAAAUGAGGCUUGGGUUGUCCUCUUUCUGAUGAAUUCUGAUUUCACAGAAA
RNAcentral lists this small RNA (1386 nucleotides) under Pan troglodytes (chimpanzee). RNAcentral describes it as "retained intron". The record is from RNAcentral. Lineage: Eukaryota; Metazoa; Chordata; Mammalia; Primates; Hominidae.